This 463-nucleotide ribosomal RNA is filed under the name uncultured bacterium. RNAcentral describes it as "bacterial SSU rRNA". It matches the Rfam family "Bacterial small subunit ribosomal RNA", at positions 340 to 789 of the family's 1533-position model. The record is from RNAcentral.
UACGGAAGGCAGCAGUGGGGAAUAUUGCACAAUGGGCGAAAGCCUGAUACAGCUAUGCCGCGUGUAUGAAGAAGGCCUUAGGGUUGUAAAGUACUUUCAUCGGGGAGGAAAAAAACAAAACUAAUAAUUUUAUUUCUUGACGUUACCCGAAAAAGAAGCACCGGCUAACUCCGUGCCAGCAGCCGCGGUAAUACGGAGGGUGCUAGCGUUAAUCAGAAUUACUGGGCGUAAAGAGCACGUAGGUGGUUUUUUUAAAGUCAGAUGUGAAAUCCCUGGGCUUAACCUAGGAACUGCAUUUUGAAACUGAAAUACUAGAGUAUCGUAGAGGGAGGUAGAAUUCUAGGUGUAGCGGUGAAAUGCGUAGAUAUCUGGAGGAAUACCUGUGGCGAAAGCGGCCUCCUAAACGAAUACUGACACUGAGGGUGCGAAAGCGUGGGGAGCAAACCAGGGAUUAGAUACCCGU